This 466-nucleotide ribosomal RNA is filed under the name uncultured bacterium. RNAcentral describes it as "bacterial SSU rRNA". It matches the Rfam family "Bacterial small subunit ribosomal RNA", at positions 30 to 481 of the family's 1533-position model. The record is from RNAcentral.
AUUGAACGCUGGCGGCAUGCCUUACACAUGCAAGUCGAACGGUAACGGGCCUUCGGGUGCCGACGAGUGGCGAACGGGUGAGUAAUGUAUCGGAACGUACCUUUCAGUGGGGGAUAACGUAGCGAAAGUUACGCUAAUACCGCAUAUUCUGUGAGCAGGAAAGCAGGGGAUCGCAAGACCUUGCGCUGAUUGAGCGGCCGAUAUCAGAUUAGCUAGUUGGUGAGGUAAAGGCUCACCAAGGCGACGAUCUGUAGCGGGUCUGAGAGGAUGAUCCGCCACACUGGAACUGAGACACGGUCCAGACUCCUACGGGAGGCAGCAGUGGGGGAAUUUUGGACAAUGGGGGCAACCCUGAUCCAGCCAUGCCGCGUGAGUGAAGAAGGCCUUCGGGUUGGUAAAGCGUCUUUCGGUCCGGGAACGAAAGUACGUAUAGGGCGUAAUACCCUCGUGCGGAUGACGGUACCGG